This 505-nucleotide ribosomal RNA is filed under the name uncultured bacterium. RNAcentral's name for it is "bacterial SSU rRNA". It matches the Rfam family "Bacterial small subunit ribosomal RNA", at positions 19 to 518 of the family's 1533-position model. The record is from RNAcentral.
AUGGCUCAGGAUGAACGCUAGCGGCAGGCUUAACACAUGCAAGUCGAGGGGCAUCGGGAGUAGCAAUACUUGCCGGCGACCGGCGCAAGGGUGCGUAACGCGUGAGCAACAUGCCCGUAUCAGGGGGAUAAUCCAUGGAAACGUGGUCUAAUACCCCAUAGUAAUUAUGUAAGGCAUCUUAUAUAAUUUAAAGCUUUGGUGGAUACGGAUUGGCUCGCGUGACAUUAGCUAGAUGGUAAGGUAACGGCUUACCAUGGCUACGAUGUCUAGGGGUUCUGAGAGGAAGGUCCCCCACACUGGAACUGAGACACGGUCCAGACUCCUACGGGAGGCAGCAGUGAGGAAUAUUGGACAAUGGAUGGAAAUCUGAUCCAGCCAUGCCGCGUGAAGGAAGAAGGUCCUAUGGAUUGUAAACUUCUUUUGUAUGGGAGCAAUAAGGCCUACGAGUACGGUUGAUGAGAGUACCAUACGAAUAAGCACCGGCUAACUCCGUGCCAGCCGCGGC